This is a non-coding RNA of Phrynosoma platyrhinos (Desert horned lizard), 72 nucleotides long. The record is from the annotation of a GenBank genome assembly. Lineage: Eukaryota; Metazoa; Chordata; Lepidosauria; Squamata; Phrynosomatidae.
GCCAUUGUGGUGUAGUGGUUUGAGUGUUGGACUAGGACGCUAGAGGCCAGGGUUCAAAUCCCGGCUCAGCCA